RNAcentral lists this ribosomal RNA (253 nucleotides) under uncultured bacterium. Its description in RNAcentral is "partial 16S ribosomal RNA". It matches the Rfam family "Bacterial small subunit ribosomal RNA", at positions 524 to 776 of the family's 1533-position model. The record is from RNAcentral.
UACGUAGGGUGCGAGCGUUAAUCGGAAUUACUGGGCGUAAAGCGUACGCAGGCGGCUUUGCAAGACAGGUGUGAAAUCCCCGGGCCUAACCUGGGAACUGCAUUUGUGACUGCAUGGCUAGAGUUUGUCAGAGGGGGGUGGAAUUCCACGUGUAGCAGUGAAAUGCGUAGAUAUGUGGAGGAACACCGAUGGCGAAGGCAGCCCCCUGGGAUGUGACUGACGCUCAUGCACGAAAGCGUGGGGAGCAAACAGG